GGUGAGGGUCCAUACUUAAGAGGCAGAUGUAACUUCAGACCUUUCUAUCUUUCAGCAUUUUCUACUGGCUUCCCUCUGCAACUCAGCUACUUGUUGUAACUCCUAUUCCUGCAUGCUUGAUCCUCUGCUCCCUGUAAAGGCAGUUUGGUGAAGUCCAGUCCCAGAACCAGGCUCCUAAGAAGGCUGGCUGUGGCACUGCUGGGAAUUGCCACAUGGAUCUCAGACCAGGCUUUUGUGUGGAAACAAGUCUUUACCUGUCAAGAUCCCGAUUAAACACAUAUACGCUGAUGGCAAGUAUCGAACGGUGCGGUGGCCUUUGAGAAGCUUCCACAUCCCAAAGAUUGACACUGGGCUGAUCCUGAAGCUCUGAGGACUUCAGAAAACCGAUGGAUUCUUGUUUGGCUGAGCUAUUGAAUGGGGA
RNAcentral lists this long non-coding RNA (421 nucleotides) under Struthio camelus australis. RNAcentral describes it as "lncRNA (ENSSCUG00000000682.1)". The record is from RNAcentral. Lineage: Eukaryota; Metazoa; Chordata; Aves; Struthioniformes; Struthionidae.